Sceloporus undulatus (fence lizard) is the source of this 1168-nucleotide long non-coding RNA. RefSeq lists it as uncharacterized. The record is from RefSeq and is a predicted model, not a curated record. NCBI's taxonomy places the organism in Eukaryota, Metazoa, Chordata, Lepidosauria, Squamata, Phrynosomatidae. The transcript is spliced from 5 exons.
UCAGCCAACAUCUGUUGAUAUCAGGAGCAGCUGAACACUCCGUCCACCUCUCAACAGCAGCGCUUAUAUUCUAGAGGAGAAAAAAAGAAAGGAAGAAAGAAAGAAAAAGGAAAAAGGAUGGUAGUAGCAGCAGCUUGUUCCACAGUCAAAGCAGAAUCUUUCAACAAGCUGAUCAGCUUCGGCAGAAAAGGGCUGUGGCUGGAUGAUACGCUGCCUUGAUUUAAAUAAAACACUGAAUGGGCAAAGUGAGCACGAGAUCCCUUGAAGGUCUUUAGUGCUGCUUGCUGACAACCUAAGAGAUGCCAAACCCCUCCAGGACUAAGCAGCGAGCCAUUUAAUGAAGAGUGAGAUGUUGCCAGUUUCAUGGCAAGCAAGCAGAGAAUCCUAUGAGCAUUCACUUGAAGUCUGACUUGGUGAAGCCCGCAAAUAGGGCUGCCUACUCAAUGAAAACCAGACCAUGUUUCUUGAAAUCAGUGGAUAUAUUUGGAAGCAGGACUAGCCUCAGUAUGCUUAUCUGUAAAAGGGGAACAUUGUGGGAUCACCUGUGUAGGAUUUUUUUUUAAAAAGAGGGAACAGAACAUGGCUGGUUGUUACCUUCAUGGCUUAGGUCCAAACUAUCAGAAAGACCCAUACCAACCUGCAAGGGUCCUAAGAUCUACAGGGAAAGGCUUCUUCUCCGUCCUGCCACCAUCACAGACUCACUUGGGUAUUCAGAGAUGGAACAAGAGCCACAGCAAUGGCAAAGAAUGCAAGAUAGAUAAGGAAUGUUUUGCUUGGCUUUCUUCUGGGUCACGGAGGCCAGCAUGUUUCACCAUCCACCAGAUCCUCCUCCCUGCACCAUUUAUUUUAGGCUGUGCAAUAAAAUUAACCCUUUGUUUAACCAGCCAACAACUUACUUACUUCCUAUGGGGCAACUUUCCCAGGGAUUCAAGGGAUUGCUAUAAAUUAUUACAUUCCCUACAGCAACUCACAUGUUGCCACUGCUGUUAACUUUGUUAUUCAAAGUACUUUCAAAUUAUAUCUGUAUGUGCUUCAGAUCCCAUGCUUUUUUUAACUAAAAAAAAAUCUUAUGAUAUCUUCAAGAUAAAGACACUUUGUUUGGCAUAAUUGGUCAAUUAUGUUUCAAUCUACAAAGACUAUCCCAAAUAAAAUUUGUUCCUCUGUAAGA